UACGGAGGGUGCAAGCGUUAUCCGGAUUCACUGGGUUUAAAGGGUGCGUAGGCGGGCAGGUAAGUCAGUGGUGAAAUCUCCAAGCUUAACUUGGAAACUGCCGUUGAUACUAUCUGUCUUGAAUAUUGUGGAGGUGAGCGGAAUAUGUCAUGUAGCGGUGAAAUGCUUAGAUAUGACAUAGAACACCAAUUGCGAAGGCAGCUCACUACACAAUCAUUGACUCUGAGGCACGGAAGCGUGGGGAUCAAACAGG
This 253-nucleotide ribosomal RNA is filed under the name uncultured bacterium. RNAcentral describes it as "partial 16S ribosomal RNA". It matches the Rfam family "Bacterial small subunit ribosomal RNA", at positions 524 to 776 of the family's 1533-position model. The record is from RNAcentral.